CUUGUGUGUCAAGCAAUCCUGCUUCGGUAGCAGACUUCGGUCAAGGAAAUCACUUCAAGCAAUGGCUUUGGAUCGACCUGACUUCUUAGAAAGGAAAGUCGGUGAAUGAAAUCCGUUGAAAUAAGAAGUCUUUAUGGCUCAAGCAGCUAGCAAACCUCCUUAAUUGAGAAAGUCAAGCAUGUCAGCACGCCCCCUACCUAUGUAGUUGGCUUCCCGGUAGUUUGUGGGACGCCAUUGGAAUCGGUCUAUCUAAAUGGCCUAUCUCCAUAUGUAUUCUUGAAGUGCCUUUCUCAUAGUUCCCUUCCCGGGCAUUGAUUGAGAGGGAAUAGACUUCCCCACUGAACGAGGAAGGCAGCAAUCUCCUUAAGAUAGAAGGGCAAUCCAAAAAAGAAGCGGCCAGAGGAGACAUUCAUUAAUAACAGAUCUCGACCCCUCACCCGUACUGAUGGGUUCGUCGGGAUUUGAUCCCAUUCCGUUCAGAAGCGUUCUGCUCAUUGAGUUUUGUAAAAGGUUCCGGUCUUUCUUCGGUGAAUCUCGAGGUCUUUCUGAUGGCUGCGCUCAGCCUAAUGUUAUCUACGUUGACCCUUCUCAGACUAGUUUACAACUAAGAGGACGGUUUUCAAAGCAAGAAGCAAGUGGAAAAACGGCUUGUUACAGUGAAUUCGAAAGUAGGCAUAUCUGCUGUUGCAUAGUUAUAUAUUCCUUUAAUCGCUAAUCACUGUUGAGUGUGACUAUCCCAUCCUACAUGGGUUUCAGGCUAAAAGAGGGCUUUUGGGCGAAAAGGAGGAAAGCAUUGGUUUAUGCCCACCCGGCUGAAAGGAGGCUUUCUGGCCGGUGAAAAAGAGGAGAGAAGGGGAGAAGGAGCUCAGAGCACUCUCAAGUGAGUUGGCAGGGACAGGGUCUUCUAUCAGGACUCGCAGACAACUUCCAAUGCCUUCCAGGCAGAAUGAAAAAUCUAUAGAAGGUCCAAAAGGGACUAUCUUCAUAGUAAAGAAGUUAUCCUUUCUUGCGUCAUCAGCUUGAUAUCAGAAUCGUUGAACGUAUAGCUUGUGGUACGGACUUCACGCGGGAUGUUUCCGAGCUAGAUUGCAAAACCGAAAGCCAGGGGGAGGGGUUUGUUUAACAUCAAGACUCUGGCAGAUCUUUCAUCUAGCUUGAUGGGCUAUUCUUUGCACAGUGAGGCGCUUUUAAGCGAGUGAAAGUAGUCUUUGAAAGCUGUCUUUUGACUAAGCCUUCGCAUACAUAAAAAUUCCUAUAUCAAUCUAUUCCAAGACAUCUGGAAUUCUCUGAUUAAGACGUAGCCGGGUAGUCUCCGAUCGGGUGAAGGAAUGCUAGUGUGCAAGCUCUUCUCAAAACAAAAGAAGAAAGGCCUAUGGUUCAAAGCCCUAUAGCGCUAGCCAGCAAGCAUUAGAUGAAACCGAUUUUGUCUAUUUCGGAUAACCCUUUCAUGCUUCUUUGUAGCAUACUGAAGAUGCUGCGGGAUAAACGAUCUUUGAAAGGUAAAUGAAUGCUUAUCCCGUGGAUGCGACAUUCGCGGUCUUAGCACUUUCCCUCUUUUAAGUAGGAAUCUGCUAAGGCUAGGCACCUUCUUCAAAAGUUAGAGAUUCAUCUUUCAAAUGGCCAGUGGAAGAAUGCCCUGUGGGACUUGAGGAAGAGAAGAGAGUAGGGUGUUAGGGAGGAGAAAGAACUGAGCUUGACUUUCUCAACAAAAAGCGAAAGCGCUAUGCUAGCUUGGCAUGGAAGCUAUAGCGAAUAGAAGUAAGGAACCUUGGCUCAUUCACCAAGGCUGAGACUCUCUAGCUCUGCUCUGGUUCUGCAUCUAAAAUCAGUAGCUCUGCUAAGGAAUCAAACAUCCAAUCAAUCCGAGAAGAGCAUCCAAUACGAAUCACGUCCGAGACGGGAGAAAGAGCGUAGUAGUAAAGAAAGCGAACUCAUUUCUUCGCAAAUGGCACCAUAGCCAACGCUACGCUCUAUACUAUCUAAAACAAUUAUUUCUGGCUGGUAGGGGGCCUUCCGUAUGAAAGAGAAAGGAAGCGACUAACCAAGAAAUCAUACAUGCAAAAAGAGAAAGGGAAUGGUUAGUGAAUCCGAACAUGAGUGGGAUCGAGGAAGAUAGGGCGUCUGGCUUCGAGGUUAUGCAGCUAGAAUUGGAGUUGCUACAAACUUGAAUGUUGAACUCUGGGCUUGGGCUGUCCGUACUGGUCUUCGGAUUGCCUUAGCUCGAAGCUUCGAAAAGGGAUAUUCGAAAAAAAAGGAUAGGGCAGACUAAGACUAAGGUUGCUUUGCUUCCUUCACGUGAAAAUGAUAAAAUGGACAAGCAAAUCGAAAAUGAAGAACGAGGAGGCAUUGCCUUCUCUUCUGCCAUCUAGCCUCUCCCUCCUUCAAGCUACGGAUAAAAAAGAAAGUCAGGGAGAGCGGGCUAGACAGCGAGUAAGACAGCUAGGUCAAUAGGAGCAAUCCAUCGAGUGGGAGAAAGACAGUUACACCAAUCCCGUGAGAAAUCCUCUUUGAAGUUGAAGCGGGUAAGCAGGCCUUUCUUUUAUUCAAGCUCUUGAAAAUGUCAGGAAGUCAAAUGGGAAAUUGGAUUGAGGAACUGAGCAAGCAAUCCAAUGAUAGUCUCUAUCUUUGAAAGCCAACCCAGUUUAAAGUAGGGAUUUUAGGCACAAAAGCUGCGAAUUCUCUUGUUGCGCUUACGCUUAUUCCGACAACAGAUUCAUCGGUCACUGGAUGCGUGCUAACAGAAAAGAAGAAAGUCUGAAAUUCAUUCAUAAGGUAGGUAAGCAAGCCGCCCUGGUGCCAAACUAAAGACAAGGAUCACAUCGAUAAGAGCAAAAGCAAAGACGGCUUAUGCCAAAUAUCUUGAACUCAAAGAAAACCAAGCCUAACUACUUUCAUACCAGGAAAUCGAAGAUGUGCCAAAUCGUUCUCUAUCGAAUCGUAGUCUAGAGCCAAAUGGAACUGAUUCCACUUGACUUGAGCAAGAAUAAGUCAAUUUCCCACGGUCAAGCCUAGUAGAGCUCCUAGUCCGACAAGACUAGCAAACAUGCUACCGUUAACCAUGCUACCACAGAAAGGAAGGGAAAGAGAUCGGAAAGCACGCAACCAAACUGAACGCCAGCGCUUUCACUGGGAAAGUCUUUGUCUCUAGCCAAAGACCUGCAUUCAAGCCCCAUAAUAGGAUGGAAAGCCCAUGGAAUGAAAUAAGUGACUCUACCCUACGUCGAACAAGAGUUGGCUUCUUUUCUAAUUCUAAAAGGCCUACUAUGUUGCCUUUCUUGACUUGCUGCCUUAGCUAGCUCCCUUUUGUACCGGUUCCCCAAGGUCUGAUUUUGCCCUUAACCCAGUGCCCAUGGAGAUAACAAGAUUAACAAAAGAUUUUCUCGGUGCGAAGAAUAGCCCUACUCCUGUAUCCUCAAAUAUUCUAUUUUAGUUAGCUACUCACUCAGUCCACAGAUUCGGAUUAGUCAAAAAAAUAGAACUAGACAGAUCAAGGAGAGAGAAGGCUCAUCGAUCAGUCUUAGCUAUGGUUCCAUUUCUUUAUUCAGUCAGCCAGGCAGAAGUGGAAAAUCAAAUAGAUAGAGUAGAUCCUAUUCUAGAUGGAUUAGAUAGAAACCUUACCUUAGCGUGAUUCCAUGCCUGACUUUCCCGAUAGCGGAAUCUAUAGAUGUUCCCAUGGAGCAGUAACUAGGUCCAGUGCCCAAAAAGGGAAGCUUAUCGAAGGGAGGAGUGGAAGCUGCUCUGCUAAUGCCUUGGCCAAGAGACGACUUAUAUCUACAUCCAUCCUCAUAGUAAGAAAAAGCCAGUGAAAGCUCUCUUCUAGGCGCUUAUUCCCACAGCAGACUCAAUAGCUGCAAUUACGGAUUCAAUUGCGACAAGAUCGUAUUCUUCCUUUUUUUAUUAACGUGCAAAACCUUUUUGUCCAAUUCUAGGAACUGUCAGGUAAGAACCGAUUCACUUCCUCACAACCUAGCAUUUUAUGUCCCUGGGUACCUUUACUCUAGUUUCAAAGGUUUCUAGCACUUGCUUACUGAGCUAGGGGGAGCUCCUGUCCCUUGCUAUUGCAGUCACAUAAAGGUUAAGAGCGAGGGGAUCAUUCACUUUGAAAAGCGAAAGGAUGAAGACUAAUCCUCGUUUCUUUUUUUCUAUAUAUAUCUAUAGGAUAAAGCCAUAAGCUACAUGCUUAUCUAACUCCUGUCUAUAUAAAGAAGGUUUCUCUUGUGUGACACAAGAAAGACAACCUCGAGCUCGAGACUGACAGUGCAGGGCAACCUGUCUUCUUUUUUAUUGUUUUUUUUAUAAUAAGAGCGAGAUGCAGUAGUCUCCUUAGUUAGCAUCCAAGACUCAACUGUCAAAAGCUCAGAAAAAAGGUUCCAAGACGGUGCGAAGACCUAGACCUAAGCCUAAGCCUUCAACUCCGCAAAUAUCGAUAGUCGAAUGGAGGGGAAUGAGGGAGCAAGAUUCGGAGAGAGAGAAGGGAAUGAAUGGCCUAUCAAUCCUUUUGUAUUCUUUUCCCCAGUGGACAUAAGAAGAAAGUUUGUCUACUAGAAUAUGACUCGAGCAUUGAUGAAUAGCUUAUUCAACAAUCUCAAGAGGCAUUGUGCCUUUUUGUGAUCUUAUCCUCUUUUGGGCAUGUUUGACUAGUGUAAUCAGUCCCUUGCUUUCCUUCCCCGCUGUCACUUCGCUGGAUAGAAGUUCCUUCUAAUUAGAUAAGGGAUAUGCUUUUGUAAUAGCAAUUGGAUGCUUUCUCAACACGGAUUCCAAGGCUUAUUCACCAUCAAGCGCGAUAAGAGCUGCUAUUUACUCAAGAGCGGCUAGUCUUGCAGCGGCAACUGCUUGAGCUCCUACUCUCACUGCGGUUACGAAGACAACAAAGGGAUAUUGAAAAGAGGGAGCACAAGAGCUCUGAGUCAUCCAACAAGGCUUACUGGAAAAGACUAGAAGAGUAAGGUCAUCAGUCCCAGAGCCUAUGAGUGCCAUGCAAACAGCACUGAUUCACCAGAAAGACCGUGACGGUUCAUGUCCAGCUCCUUCUAUUCUAUAGUUCCUUCCCUCUUUCCUUCACCACCAGCUGGAGCGCAGUCUUCGCCGGUCUCCAGGUUAUCAACAAGACAAGACCUAUCACGUGACUACGAGCUUUUUCCUUACUCAGACAGACCCCAAGCAGGCACGGUGACAAGACUUUGAUGCGGGGUUCGGAAGAUAGGCUUGCAACGGAUUCAACCGAUCGAUUCCCCGUGGCAUAUAAAGAUUGGCGAAGCAUAAGGUUAGUAACAUCGGUGCUGAUAACUUUUUUCUCCUUCGGGGGUGGGCUUUGUAAGAGUUGGGCGAGAUGCAAGACUUUUUCUUCAAGGAGUUAGAGCAGAAGUUGUUUACUCGUAUAUAUAAAAGAAUAAGACCGGCUUACCAUUCUAUUAAAUAAAAUGAAAGGGUUGAGAGUGGAUUCCUUUCUUCAAUGCAUUCCACCGAGGCGACUAGGGCACCUUUUUUGUAAGAGACGCUCAGCUCAAGCCAACUUCUAUCAGUUCAGGCGGAAGGUCAGGGGGAGUGGUACAAUUAGGCCUUCCCUUCGGUAUGCGAUAUCAGUAUGUAAAGUUCAUUUCUCUGCCCAGUCAAAAGCUUUUGAAACUUCUGGUUUGAGGGACUUCACCGCUAACGAGCAUCGAUAAGCUGUCGCAAGCAAUCAAAGCGAUUCCCUUCCUUAUUCUAAUAGAAAAGGUAAUCCGGGCCCUCCCCCUGUCUACAGCUAUGCUAUCUCUAUCACUGCUAAGGUCAGGUUUUUUUUGCUGGAUCAGAUAUGGAGAUUUCAGCCCUUUCCUUCCUUGUUUGCAUUCCAGGUUGGUUCUAAAGAAAGGGUUGGAAAAUGGAAUCAAACAAAAGGUCAGAUAGGCCUCCCGUCCCAUUCUAUUUCCUAAGACAAGAUCCGUCGUGGUUCGGAGUCACGUACUAGCCUCGCCCUAUCUAAAACUAAAAGGCGGAUGGAAGAUGGCCUUCUUAAUGAGCUCUCUCACUUUACUUUAUUGGUAUAGCAUUUCUUGCUAGAUCGGAUUAAGAGUGACUUCUUCCGCUGUCUAUGUUUUCAAACAUUUCAUCGGUGUCGAAAUUUUAUUCAUCUCAGCCAGUGUAGGCUUGCUCCGCACACAAAGGCUACAUCUGGGCCUUUCAUUAAUUUGACUUUUCAAUUCAUUUUGGAAGCCCUUCCUUCGCUCCGGGCACGCUGUUUAGAUCUAUUUCGGUUGCCAAUGAAAUGGAAUAUGGGGAACUCUCCGUCUAAGUGGUUAAUCUGACGAGUCAAUUCUCAAUGUGAUGCUGCUAUCCGUUCGACGAUCCUACUUAUGAUGUCACCCUCGCCUCUCCCUCCCAGUGGAAUAUCCCAUUCUCUAUCCAAUUCUGGAAGAAUGGAUCAUGAAAGAUUAUUUCGUGAGAUGCCGAUAAGGAACAGCCUAUAAAAGCGGGUGGAAGGGAAUGAAAGCACUCCUUUGAUAGAAAAAUAUAGAGAUUUUUUAGAGCUAGGGGCAGGCCAUCUAUUCCUGCUUUACUUUCUUAAAAGAAGCCUUAGAUCUCUUUCUCGGUCGAGGUGGGAGUAGGCAGUUCUCUAUGAACUGGAUGUUGAAUUAUCAAAAAGAUGAGAGGAAGGCGCUUCUUCGAUUAGGUGUCUCGUGGCAAGGGCUGUGCACAAUCAAAGAGGGGCGGCUACUUUCCAGCUUGCUGACUUCACUAUGACCUUCCCCACCUAAUCUUCCUCCAUAUAGGCGAGGUAUAGGAGAAGCCCCAGAACUACACUUGAAGCUUCAUUUAGAUCGAUUCCAGUCGCCGCUACACCACAUCAAUCCGUUAUGGCUCGACCCUCUUAGCAGCUACGGAUUCUCCGGGCAGCCAUAUUUGCGUGGAAUUACAUUAGUACAUUAGUUAGACGAGCAGGAGCGUAUGUACCCCGAUUCGCACCAAGUUUUCUCUGUCAAGCAUGGAGAAAGCUCCAAGGAUUGACCCGCUCUACAACCCUAAUUCAUCGUCAUUGGGGCUAUUCUCUCGAAAGAAGAGUGUGAUAGAAGCAUAUUCAUUUUAGCCUAGGGAUCAGCCUAUCAAACAAACAAAAAGUAAGCACAUAUGCGGUCCGCUAGUCUUUGACUUUCUUUGAAGGCUGGUUUUCGAGCGGAAUGGUUUUGACCUUGAAAGUCUUUAGGCUUCUACUAGCCAAAUCAGCCUAGACCUAUUCUAAUAGAUUAGGCCUAGAUUCCCCAACUCCUAAAAAAAAGAAUUUGGAUCAGAAUCGCAAUUUUGUUCGAUUCAGCAGUAGUUGGAAUGGUGUAUCCAGCAGAUGGUCUUUCAUCAGUAAGCGAUGUGCUAGUCGUUGUUGGUGAAUACCUAUCUGGUGUUCAAGUCUCCUGUCCUUGUCCUUCUAUUAGUGGUGGUAUCCUAAGAUUCUGGUUUAGAAAUGAUUGAUUUAUGUAACUAGAAAUUUCAUAAGAGAAGAAAGAUCGUAGCGUAGAAAACAAAGGCCUUUCCUUCACGGGCUUACUUAGUGCUUGUGCUAAGGUUUGAGCUCAACCCAAACAACGGCUAACGAGCCCCUAUCAGAGAAAGCCUUGGUUAAGUAAAGCGCGUUAGCUUUUUUAAGUUAAGGCGCACAUCCUCUUGCUGGGAGAGGAUAAAUCGUUUUGAUUCGAGGCGGAUCCCUUUUUUGUUUGCCUUUACGAGUUGAGUCAAAAAAAUCUCUCGUUACUUAAGGUAAGGUUAUAACACUCUAAUGACAAAGCGUCCGCUCACUGGCCCUUUGAAUAUGGAGAUGUAGUUGCGUGUACUGAUUCUCAUUGAGAUUGGGUUGGUCUUCAGUGUACCGCUUGUGUAGCCUAUGUGAAAUGAACAAGCAAGGGAUUGAGGCGAAAGCCGCAUUCGCGCAUUCAUUUGUUUGGGUACAAGAUCGAAAAGAAUGCAUUGGAUGGAUGUCCGGGCAUUGAGAAGGAAGGACGUUUUCAGAGGCGAAAGGCCAUGGGGAGAUACCGUCUGUGAUCCAUGGAUCUCCGAUCGGGAAACCGUAUCCAAGAUCGGCGGCUAGUCUGCGCUCUUUGGACUUUUAAAACUUAGUGAACUGAAACAUCUUAGUAGCUAAAGGAAGGGAAAUCAAUCGAGACCCUGUUAGUAGCGACGAGCGAGAGCGGAUUGGGGUUUGAAGAAAAACAAACACGAAGCUUCGUUUCUCUUUCGAGUAUGAUAAAUUCCUCAGCAGCAAAGUGUUCACUUCUUUUUCGCCAGGUUUCAUUCGAUUUGUUGUGGAUUGGAUGAUGGAAAAACCAGCAAGCCCCUUUCAUUGAAAUGGCGCAAUGAACUGUAAUUGUGAAAAGGUUGGAAGAUCUGGCCAAAGAAGGUGAUAGCCCUAUAGAUUCAUUCCCAAUGUUUGAUCCUUCCCAGUAAAAUGCGGCGUGUUCGAAUUCUGAUUGCUUUUACGCGAGAAAGGGGGACCACUCUCUAAUUCUGUUCGCAUCGAAUUCUGAUCCGAUGCGAACAAUCAGUCGAAGGAGCUUAGAGCCUUUACUUGAUAUUUAGUAAAGCGCACUCACUCUAACGGCGUACCUUUUGCAUGAUGGGUCAGUGAGAAAAUGGGAACAGCGGCUUAAGCCAUUAGGUGUAGGCGCCUUUCAAAGGUGGAAUCUUCUAGUUCUUCCUAUUUGACCCGAAACCGAUCGAUCUAGCCAUGAGCAGGUUGAAGAGAUCUCUAACAGACCUUGGAGGACCGAACCCACGUAUGUGGCAAAAUACGGGGAUGACUUGUGGCUAGGGGUGAAAGGCCAACCAAGAUCGGAUAUAGCUGGUUUUCUGCGAAAUCUAUUUCAGUAGAACGCAUGAUGUCAAUGGCCCGAGGUAAAGCACUCAAUGGGCUAGGGUGGCCCCAUUUCGCCUUACCAACCCCAGGGAAACUCCAAAUACAGGCCUAGAUCGUUUGUACAGACAAACUUUUAGGGUGCUAAGAUCCAAAGUCAAGAGGGAAACAGCCCAGAUCGUACGCUAAGGUCCCUAAGCAAUCACUUACUGGAAAAGGAAGUGAUCGAACGAUGACAACCAGGAGGUGGGCUUGGAAGCAGCCAUCCUUGAAGAUNNNNNNNNNNNNNNNNNNNNNNNNNNNNNNNNNNNNNNNNNNNNNNNNNNNNNNNNNNNNNNNNNNNNNNNNNNNNNNNNNNNNNNNNNNNNNNNNNNNNNNNNNNNNNNNNNNNNNNNNNNNNNNNNNNNNNNNNNNNNNNNNNNNNNNNNNNNNNNNNNNNNNNNNNNNNNNNNNNNNNNNNNNNNNNNNNNNNNNNNNNNNNNNNNNNNNNNNNNNNNNNNNNNNNNNNNNNNNNNNNNNNNNNNNNNNNNNNNNNNNNNNNNNNNNNNNNNNNNNNNNNNNNNNNNNNNNNNNNNNNNNNNNNNNNNNNNNNNNNNNNNNNNNNNNNNNNNNNNNNNNNNNNNNNNNNNNNNNNNNNNNNNNNNNNNNNNNNNNNNNNNNNNNNNNNNNNNNNNNNNNNNNNNNNNNNNNNNNNNNNNNNNNNNNNNNNNNNNNNNNNNNNNNNNNNNNNNNNNNNNNNNNNNNNNNNNNNNNNNNNNNNNNNNNNNNNNNNNNNCGUGAGACAGUUCGGUUCCUAUCUACCGUUGGUGUUAAAGGGAAAACUGCGAGGAGCCAACCCUAGUAUGAGAGGACUGGGUUGGGCCAACCUAUGGUGUACCGGUUGUUAUGCCAAUAGUAGUGUCGGGCUGCUAAGUUGGUAUGGAAGAACUGUUGCGCCGUGGGAAAUCCUUCUCUAUACAAGUUCUCGGACGAGGUUUUUGAACAGAACUUCGAUAGGCGAGAGGUGUAAGCACUGCGAGGUGUGAAGCGAUCUCGUACUAAACGAAACAACUUUCACUUUCCAUAACAAAAAAAAAUAAAGUCAACCUAUUCCUCCUUACUCUAACAAGUAAGCAAGUCAACUACCUGCAAUUGCGGUCAAUCUCGCUACCUCUUUAGUUGCCGCCCCCUACUUGCUCAUUCGCAAUUACUACAAAGUCGCCCCUCUCUCUAAGGGGGCUUAUGAACUCAGAAACUUUUUCGUAUGUUAUGGGGUCGCGAAGAAUUUUGCUGCCAACCCUAGUUAGCAAGCUGAAAUGAAAAAGUCUUUUCUAAUAAAUAAGGUAAGCUUCAUAGCUCCAACCUAGGGGGUCAUUAGACCGCCGCUUACUUACUAAGCACUGGUUCUAUCCCGGCCAAGCAACCAAAGGGACCUAGGUGGGAAUCGUGAAAAGAAAGAGAAGGGGAAAAAGCGGGGUGGAGUAGUUGGUUAACUCGUCAGGCUCAUAACCUGAAGAUUGUAGGUUCGAAUCCUGCCCCCGCCAUGUCUUGAUUUUGAAAAGUCUGAACUUGAACCCUAGUUUCCAUCAAGCAAAAGCAAGACGGACCAUCUUGAGGGAAGAGGGCAGUUUCCCUGAUGGCUAUGAAUGGCGCGGUGACUAUCCGGAAGAUUUUGAAAAGCUGCCAAGCAAUCAAGCAAUAAAAGAAAGCGAGCAUCACAAAUAUGAGGACAUGAACGCAGAGUUGGAACAGCAUGCCAUGCAUUGUUUUAAAAGAAUUACUACUUUGAAUGAUCAAGAGCAAUACUCUACUUCCACUGAGAUCAAAGCACGAAAGAAAGUCUUUAGUCUGUAUCUGAACCAUAGCCAUAUGCUGAAACCAUAAAAUGAGAUUACCAAGACAAGAGAACCAUAACCAAUAGGAAAGAAAGUUGGCGCAAAAGACAUACCAGACCGGGUCAAAAGAGAGAUUGCCCUCCGGCUGCAUUUCCGAGGAAUUCACUUCAACCACGUACUUCCAUACAUCAGAGGUCAAGCCCUUACAAAGCAAAGCCAACAAGUCAAUUCGGCUUUCUUGAUGUCCAAAGGUGAAGACAAGUAGAGAAUUUACCUUGACCGGAGCACCGAGAACGAGAACAUAGAGUGCCUUUCUUUUUUCAAUUAUGCCCGCUGACCGCUUAAGGAGGUUGAACCCCGAAGGAGAGAUAGGGCUGAAAUUCUCACCUCACUGACGAAGCCUUUAGCAGAUAUCACAUGGGUGGGGCAUUCAUCCUUUUCAAAGGGGCACACUAUUAUUCUGACAACGUCGAUCUGGCCAUAUGGCCCGUAGUGAUGAUAAAUAGAGAAAAACAUCCAACUUCCCUCCUCCAGAUUAGACCAUUGUGCCAAGAGCACCACGAAUGAAAUGAACAAGGACUGAUUUGGAAAGAAGGUUUGAAUACGAACCUGACCUAGAAGGGGCAAGAGAUUUGAGGGAAAUCAAACAAAGGAAGAGAAAUGUGGGACCUGAAGUGAGGACCACGUGGGGCAGGAUCCGACCCAGAGGUUUUGGAGUUGACAGCAGCUUUUCUUCCUCAAAGCCAGCCUCAAGGCACAAAGUGGAGGGCGAAAAGCCUUUUUGAAUAAAGAAAGAGGGACUUCGAUUGUCAUCAAGUGAUUUUUCAUAUACAGAUUCUUGGCCUCAGGUCGAAUUUCCUAGGAACGGAAGGAAUGGCAUAUACUAAGAUGCCGGCGGGAAUGGAUUCUUGAGCCCCUUAUUUACCUGGUGCCAACCUAAUAAAAGAUCGAAGUACCAAAUGCUUAGGUCACCCGAGAGAGGCCUAUGGGGCAUUACGAGAGAAAAAGCUCGUCGUGGGUCAAGACCAGAGAGCUACAGGUACACCAGGGGCAACAGAGCACUCGGGCGGGGUCAGGGCAAGGGCAGCACGUCACGGAAGUUCUCAGCUUAAUCUUACCAAUGCUAUAUCUUGGGUGCGCGAUAUGGUGGGACUGUCUAGCACAGACACCCCCAAGCAUCCCUGAGUUACAGCAGCUGGCAGAGGCAACACAAAUCGGGGAACCGGCAAGUUCUUCCGCAGAAGUAAGGCAGCUAGUAGACCACCUCAAUGAGCAAGCCAGGGAGGUGGCCAGUGAAGCUUCAAUGGAAAGAACACCCAGAGCUCUUGCAAUGUGGACGGCUGGGCUAACGCUAGCAUUCGCUAUCUCCUUAGCGCUUGCUCAAAAGGUCUGGGGUUAUCCUAGUUAUUAAUACGAGCCUCGAAUUUCUGGUAAAAGGUAUACUACGCAAGAAGAGCUCCUCCCCCCUAGAUCUUAGCUUAGGAAAAAAAAGUCGAUCGUAAUUCGAAAAAAAUUAAGGUGGGGCUGGGCAGUAGCACCGAGAUCUCAUAGAGAAGGCAUUUUUCUCGCGGGCUCCCUUUUAGAUGUGGAUUUAGGUGUUUUUUUUUAUGCAAGACGAGUGAAAUGGGAAAAGAAAGGUGGAGGUUGACCUGCUUUGUGACAGAUGUGGAAUGGAGCCUGAAUCUACCAUUCAUGUUUUAAAGGGUUGCCUCUGGGCAUCUGGCAUUUGGCUACUCUGCCCAUUAGCCCUUCAUACUCAACAGAUGCAGGCUCUCAACUUCUCAGAUUGGGUGAAGGAGAUGGGGAAGUGUCUUGAUGAAGAGCAACUGGAACUUAUGCUAGUAGUUGCAUGGGCUUUAUAGAGUGAUAGAAAUUUGUUGUUGUUCCAGGACAUACAGAACUAUCCUGUGGAUGUGGUGAACAAAGCAAUCAGCUUCUUCGAAGAGUAUAAGAAGGAGAAGCUAAAAAUAGUGCAAACACCUAUAGGUUGGCAGGCCCCACCCCAUGGUGUUUAUAAGAUUAAUACUGAUGCUGCAAUUUUUAACCUGCAAGGGAUUGGCUGCUUGCUUCAUCCCGCCCUUCCUUCCCUCACCGCACGUGCCAUAGAUUUAGAUGAAUUAGCUGUUGCGGCGCUCUUCUCUUUUCUAAAGCAAGGAAUUUCCUUUCAUUCAUAAGUCACACAAGAAUUUCUCAAGGUUGCAGGCAAGGCUACUAGAGAAGGGGUGAAACCAGCCAAGGGCAGGCUCCAAGGCGACAAUAGCAAUCGAGUGGCCAAGCGUUGAAAGAAAGGAAGGGCUAGCGGCAAAAAAGAAUAAGAAUAACAGAAGUUCUUGAGGGGAGAUCUUUUCACUCUUUCUCGAUGCAAUAAUAGUCAGUCUAGUGACUUCUUGAUAGCAUUGGUCUCAGAAAGCCCUCCCUCGGUACCGGGCUAAGGAUAGAAGCGAUUCCACCAGAGUGAAAUUUCGUACUUAUCCCAUCUCUCAAGGAAGAUUCGAAGUAGGUACCUAUGUCAUGCUGAAUUUCAAAGUAGUUUUGAGGUAAUCGAUGGCAUAUUGUUAGACAAGUGGCCUCAGAUAUCUUAAGAAGGGGGGGUUGAAUUAAGAUAUCCCAAAAUACUUCCCCAAUUAAAAAUAUAUUUCACUUUCUUUUCAAGUUAUAAAUUCCCUUAACAAUGAACUUCUUAAAUAUUAAUUCAAAUAAAACAAUUUGAAUAUGAACAUAAAACAAUAAUAAACAAAGGAGAUUAAGGGAAGAGAAAGUGCAAACUCAGAUUUAUACUGGUUCGGCCACACCCUUGUGCCUACGUCCAGUCCCCAAGCAAUCCGCUUGAGAGUUCCACUAUCUUGUAAAUUCCUUUUACAAGUUCUAAACACAAAAGGACAAUCCUUCCUUUGUUUUUAGAAUUCCUUUACAACAAGAGACCCACGAUCUCUUAAUCCCUUAGAGAAUGAGGAGAAGAAGAAGAAAGAAUCUCUCUAGAAAGAGAUAGAUUUUACAGAUUGAGCACUCAAAUAAUUCCUUAAUGAACUGCAAUUGAAUUGGCCAAGGAAUUUUUAAGAGGAUAAAAUGAUUUUUGCUCUUUGAGAGGAUAAACACUUGUUGUUCUGAAAAACUCUAUCAAAAAUCGUGUCUCAAGUCACAUAUAUAUAGGCCUAUGAUAGCCAUUCAAUAACCACACAAAAAGAUGUGACUGUUGAGAAUGUUUUCUGAAAAAAACUCCUCUGGUAAUCGAUUACAAUAAGUGUGUAAUCGAUUACACUCUUUAAAAUUUGAAUUAAAACGUUCAGAAACUGCUGGUAAUCGAUUACCAUAUAUGUGUAAUCGAUUACACAGUGCAAAGUUUGAAUUCAAAUUUUAAUAGCUGUUGUAAAUCAGUUUUGGCCACUGGUAAUCGAUUACAUCCUCUGGUAAUCGAUUACCAGAGAGUAAAUUUGUUGAAAAAGACUUUUUUUAACUUAAAAUUCUUGGCCAAACCUUUUGCUACUUCAAUUGGAAUUCCCUUCCUAUUUAAUAUCCUUUCUAAGACUCUAUAGACUGUCUUGAUCAUCCAUCUUGAAUAUCUCUAAUUGCUUUGUCUUGAGUAAAUCUUUGAGAAGCAUAUGAUUCAUGUAACCCUUUGGCAUCAUCAAAAUAUUCAGCUUGAUCCUUUGUCUACAAUCUCCCCCUUUUUGAUGAUGACAAUACCUGAAAUCAAGACAAGCUAUAUACACGAUGAUAGCACGUUCACACAACCCUUACUCCCCCUAUCUUUUGGCAUGUAUGCCUAAUUGAUUUCUAACCCAUAUGUGUUCUCCCAAGUUCUCUCCCCCUUUGGAAACAUCAAAAAGAACUAGAUCAAAAUAAUCAAUAUCCAAACAUUAACACAAUAAAUAUCCAAACAAAGCCAACCAUUAAAUUGAAAUAAAUCCAUACAGCGUCAUAAUUAACAAAAGCGAGAAUUAAAAUAAAAGUGCAAGACUAGAACAAAAAACCAAAUACAUGGCGAUAAAGCAAAGUACUAAUAAUAUUUGACUACUAAUUAAACUAAGUUAGAAUAAUAAUAUAUAAUCUAAGAAGAUGAAGGAGGCGGUGGUGGUGGAUCAAAGCAAGUUCGGAUGAAGGAGACAUCUUCUUCAACCCUAGUGGUCCUUGAUUCCAUAGCAUCGAACCGCAUGUCAACUUGCAAUUCCAUGGCAUCAAACUUGUCACCAACAAAAGUCUGAAGUCCAUCAAACUUGUCCAUAAGCCUUUGAAGAAGAGUGGAAUUAUCUUCAACUGGUAUGUGACCUUCAUCAUCAGCAGGUGGAACACUCUUUUUGACCCAAGAGCCAUCACGCUCUUUGAGGUAACCAAAAGAAGCAAUCACAGCAGCACCAAUUAAAAAAGAUCGCUUGAUUGGAACAUAAGGUUCAUAAUCAAAAGGAAUUUGAAAAUGGCGGAAAAAGAGAGUGACAAGCUGUGGAUAUGGUAAUGGAGCAUUUAAUCACAAUGCCUUAUGCAUGCGAUAUCUGACUAAGUGUGCCCAGUCAAGUUGACGCCCUGUAUGAAAGGCCCACAUGAUAAAGAUCUUCCUCAGAAACCUGGGCAAGGUUGGAAGACCGUGGAAGCAGAAUACGCACAAUUAAAUAGUCAAGGAUGCGACUUUCAAAAGCCAAUGACCCGGCAAGAAGACGUCCGGUCAUAUCCGCAUUGUUGGUGCAAACCAACUGGCGGGCAUCAUGGGCACAGAAAUCAAAUUUCCAGUCGUCAUUCAGUGUACCUUCAAAUGGUACACCGUCACUGGGUAAUUUGGUUAAGUCAUGGAAAAGGGACUGGUCAAUGACCAUUUUUAUCCCAAAAAUUUCAGAAAUCAGAGUGUUGUCCUUAAUUUCAAGAUUACAAUAAAAAGCUUUAACCAAUUCAGGAUAAAUAGGCAAUUGUAAUGACAUAAAAGGUAGAAGACCUAAGUUCUUAAAGGCUUGAAUGCAAUCAAAGGUUUCAGCAGAAAAGAAUUCCAUAUCAAUAAACUUAGGGUCGAUAAUGGAACGAGAUGAGAAAAGAUUGGAGUACCAUUUCUGCUGUUCGUUGGAAGAAAACACUGGGGAAGAGGACAAUGAGGGUGGAAUUGGUGCUGUGGAUGCACUAGUGGCUCCAGAACGAUGAGCUCUUGAAGCCGAAGCGGAGGCGGAAGAACCCUUUCGUUUCUUUGACGAUUCUGCCAUUUGAGGGAGUUGUUGCAGAUUUUAAUCGGUGAAAUCAAAAGAAAAAUGAAAAAGAAGAAGAUUGCAAUUUACGGGAGUUGAUUUGAUCAAGAAAUGAGUGAGAUAGGAAGGUUUGAAGGUUUAGGAAUGGAGGUACGGCGCAAGGAGGAAGGGGCUGCGCAGGAGAUUCUGAAAACGUGAUAUUUAUAGAGCAGGACGCGUGGUAAUCGAUUACAAGUAAUGGUAAUCGAUUACAAGAGGAGGCAGCCUACUGGUAAUCGAUUACAUGAAUACUGUAAUCGAUUACAAGCCAUCUGUUCUAGUGUAAUCGAUUAUAGUAUUCAUGUAAUCGAUUACCAGAACAAAAAAUAGCCUUUUCCUUAAGGAAAACUUAUUUCUUAAGUCUUAAAACUUAUGUUAUUUAAAGAGUUAAUUAUACUAACAAGAAAAGUAAACUAAAUUAAACAAAACAAGCGUCAUACUUCAUCAAAAACACAAUCAAUCAUUCAUAAAAAAAAAUUACCUAUUCAAAUCACUAAGGUCUAAAAGCCCUAAUUCUCUUCUUAUUGAAAAGAAUAUUUCUUUUGGGAGAGGUUUUGUAAAGAUAUCAGCAAGCUGAUUCUUUGUAUCAACAAACUCUAAUAUACAAUCUCCCUUUAGGACAUGAUCUCUAAGAAAAUGGUGCCUAAUUUCUAUAUGUUUGGUUCUAGAGUGUUGAACAGGGUUUUUGGACAGAUUUAUGGCACUAGUAUUAUCACACCUAAUAGGUAUACGAUCAAGAAGGAUACCAUAGUCAGAUAAUUGUUGCUUCAUCCAUAAAAUCUGUGCACAACAACUGCCGGCAGAAAUAUAUUCCGCUUCAGCAGUGGACAAAGCAACACUGUUUUGUUUCUUACUAUGCCAUGAGACAAGAGCAGAUCCAAUGAAUUGACAAGUUCCACUUGUGCUUUUUCUAUCAGUUUUAGAUCCGGCAAAGUCAGAAUCAGAAUAUCCUAUUAAGUUACAUGUUGAGUUCUUAGGAUACCAUAAUCCUAAAUUUAUUGUACCUAAUAGAUAUCUCAUGAUUCUCUUAACUGCACUCAAAUGUGAUUGUUUGGGGUUGGAUUGAAACCUAGCACACAUGCAUACACUAAACAUAAUAUCAGGCCUACUAGCAGAUAAAUAGAGAAGAGAUCCGAUCAUACCUCGAUACUGUUUCAUGUCUAUAGAUUGACCAGAUUCAUCUUUAUCUAAGUAACAGCUAGUGCUCAUCGGUGUAGCCAUGUGUUUUGCACUUUCCAUCCCAAAUCUUUUUAUUAAUUCCUUGCAGUACUUGGCUUGAUUGAUGAAUAUACCUUCUUGAGUUUGCUUGAUUUGUAAUCCCAGGAAGUACUUUAGUUCUCCCAUCAUUGACAUUUCAAAUUCACUUUUCAUAUCAAGGGAAAACUCCUUGCACAAUGAAUCAUUAGUGGAUCCAAAAAUUAUAUCAUCAACAUAUAUUUGAACCAACAAAAUAUCAUUAUGUUUUCUCUUUAUGAAUAAUGUGGUAUCCACUUUACCUAUAGAGAAUUCUUUUUCUAGAAGAAAAUUACUUAAGCGUUCAUACCAAGCCCUAGGGGCUUGUUUCAAACCAUAAAGAGCCUUUUGCAAUUUAUAAACAUGAUUUGGUUUAUCUGGGAUUUCAAAGACUAGGGGUUGUUCAACAUAUACUUCUUCUUGAAUUAAACCAUUUAGAAAAGCACUUUUAACAUCCAUUUGAUAGAGUUUAAAAUUCAUUAUGGAUGCAUAUGCUAAGAGCAUUCUAAUGGCUUCUAAUCUUGCAACUGGAGCAUAUGUUUCUUCAUAGUCUAUUCCCUCUUCUUGAUUAUACCCUUUUGCUACUAACCUAGCCUUAUUUCUAAUAAUUAUGCCAUGUUCAUCUAAUUUAUUUCUAAAAACCCAUUUUGUUCCUAUGAUAGGAUAAUUUUCAAGUUUUUCUACUAGUUUCCACACAUUAUUUCUUUCAAAUUGAUUCAGUUCUUCUUGCAUGGCAAUGAUCCAGUUAUCAUCUAUUAUGGCUUCUUUUAUAUUUUUAGGUUCAAUCAUAGAUACAAAAGCCAUAUUAUUGCAUAAAUCUUUAAGAGAAUGUCUAGUUGUUACCCCUUUUGAGAUAUCACCAAUAAUGUUGUCGAGGGGAUGAUCUCUUGAAGCUUUCCAUUCUCUUGGAAGUUCAUCAUUGGAUUUGACUUCUUCUGGAGGAUCUUCAUUGUUUCUUUAUCAUUUCCUUUGGAAUCUUGUUCAUGAAUAUUCAUAUGUUCUAAAGAAUCUGCAAUAUCAUCUAGCAUAUUCUUUCUUGACAAGAUAGCAUUAGAUUCAUCAAAGGUAAUAUGAAUGGAUUCCUCGAUAUUCAUAGUUCUUUUAUUAUAUAUCCUAUAUGUUUUGCUUUGUAAUGAAUAUCCAAGAAAAAUACCUUCAUCAGAUUUUGCAUCGAAUUUUCCUAGAUUAUCUUUACCAUUAUUAAGCACAAAGCACUUGCAACCAAAAACAUGUAGAUGAGAAAUAUUAGGUUUUCUACCAUUAUAUAACUCAUAUGGGAUUUUCUUUAAAAUGGGUCUUAUCAAGGCCCUAUUCAUGAUGUAACAUGCAGUAUUGACAGCUUCAGCCCAAAAAUACUUUGGAAGAGAAGUAUCAUUUAAUAAAGUUCUUGCAAUUUCUUCCAAUGACCUAUUUUUCCUCUCAACAACUCCAUUUUGUUGAGGGGUUCUAGAUGCAGAAAAAUUGUGUUCAAUGCCAUGUUCAUCACAGAAUAAUUCAAAAUCUUUAUUUUCAAAUUCACCCCCAUGAUCACUUCUAAUGGAUGCAAUCUUGAGAUUUUUCUUGUUUUGUAUGACUUUAGCAAGUUUUCUAAAUGCUUGGAAUGAAUCACUUUUAUGUGUAAUAAAUAAUGUCCAAGUAUAUCUAGAGAAAUCAUCAACUAUAACUAGAGCAUAGUAAUUUCCUCCAAAACUCAUGGUUCUAGAUGGACCAAAUAAAUCCAUAUGCAAUAAUUGUAAAGGUUGAGUGGUUGAAACAACAUUUUGAGGUUUGAAUGAGACUCUUGUUUGUUUGCCCUUUUGACAUGCAUCACAUAAUUUAUCUUUUUCAAAUUUCAAUUUAGGCAAACCAACUACUAAAUCUUUUGAAAUUAAUUUAUUUAAGUGAUCCAUGUUUAUGUGAGCAAUUCUUUUAUGCCAUAACCAUGGACCAUCAUCUUUGCUAAGAAAGCAAUGAUUGUUUUCUAGUUUUAUGCUUAAGUCUAUCAUGUAAACAUUAUUGACUCUAUGUCCUACAUGCUUUAUAUUAAUGUCAUGCUUAUGUUCUAUAAGACAUUUUUUAGAAUCAAAUGAUACUAGAUAGCCUUUGUCGCAUAAUUGACUAACGCUAAGCAGGCUGUGCUUAAGGCCUUCAACAAGUAGAACAUUUUCAAUGGAGUUUGAAGAAUUUGUACCUAUUUUACCAACUCCAAGGAUUCUACCUUUUUUGUUGUCACCAUAUGUUACAUGCCCGUUUUUCUUUGGAGAGAUAUGUGUAAAAUUUGAUGCAUCUCCAGUCAUAUGUUUUGAGCAUCCGCUAUCUAUGUACCACUUCUUCCUCAAAGACACCUACAUAUCAAGUUUUUGACUUAGGUACCCAAACUUUAUUGGGUCCUUGCAUGUUAGUAUAAACUGAGGAUCCUUUUGGGACCCAUAUCAUUUUAAUGUUGCUGUAAUUUUUCUUGAAGUAGCAAGUUGAUAUGCCAUGUCCUCUUCUUCCACAGUAAAAACAAGUUAUAUAAUUACAUUUUUGUGUGGAAGUAGAAAAGUUUUUAUAAAAUUUUUGUUGUUUUUCAUAUUUAUACCCUAGUCCAUUCUUAUUGGAAACAUAUCUUUGUUUACUUAAUAUGACAUCUAAAUUAUUUUUACUAUAAGAAAAUUUAGCAAGUGAAUUUUUUAACUCUUUAAUUUCUUUUUCAUAUUUUUCACAACAACUACAAGGAUCUGAUAGUUUCUUGCCAGAAAUAGUGAAGAUAUUAACUUUUUCAUUUGUUUUAGAAAUUAAGACUUCAUUUCUAAGAUGAUCUAAUUCUAUGUUUAAUUUUGAGAUUUCAUUUUCUAAAUUUGAAAUUGUUUUCUUUGAAGAUGAAACUAAUUUUGCAAGUUUAAUUGACUCUUUACGCAGAUCAGCAAAUGCUUCUUGCAAUUCAUCAAAAGAAAUAGAUAAGUUAUUUGAAGAUGUUACCUCUUCAUCACUUUCGUAACUCUUAGCCAUAAGGCAGAGAUUUAUCUCUUCAUUUUCUGAAUCUUCAGAAGAUUCCAUAUCAUUUUCAUCCCAUGUGAUGUAUGCUUUCUUCAGUUUCUUUUCACUAAGAUUUUUCUUUUCAGAUUUCUCCAUCUUUUUCUUGAAGAUGGGACAAUCAACCCUCAGAUGUCCAGGUUGAUUACAUUCAAAGCAUUUUAAAAUAGAGGAUGAAUUUUCUGUCCUUCUCUUUGAUUUAAAAUUGGGUCGCCUCUGAUUUCCUCUUACUUUAAGAAACUUGUUGAAUCUUUUUACAAAAAGACUUAGAUCAUCAUCAUCAUCUGGAUCAUUUUCCUGAUCACUUUCUUCUUGAAUUGAGGAUGAUGCUUUAAGAGCAAUUCCUUUCUUUUUCUUGUCAUUUUCUUCAUGUUGGUGUAAUCUCAAUAAUUCCAUCUCGUGUUCCUGCAACUUUCCAAAUAAAGUGGCAAGGGACAUGUUAGACAAAUCUCUUGAUUCAGUAAUGGCCGUUACUUUGGGUUGCCAUUCUCUACUUAAACAUCUUAACACCUUGUUUAUGAGAUCCUCAUUUUAAAAUUCUUUACCUAAGGCUGCUAGAUGAUUUACUAUAUGUGUAAAUCUCUUUUGCAUGCUUUGAAUAUUUUCAUUUGCAUUCAUUCUAAAUAAUUCAUACUCAUGAGUUAGUGCAUUUAUCCUAGAUCUUUUAACAUCUGUAGUUCCUUCAUGUGUUAAUCGAAGAGUGUCCCACAUUUCCUUAGCACUCUUACAAUUUGAAACCCUGAAAUAUUCAUCCAUUCCCAGGGCAGAUGUUAUUAUGUUUUUGGCUUUUAAAUUGUAUUGUACUCGUUAUCUAUCCUCUUCAGACCAUCUAUCUCUAGGUUUUUCUAUAGUUAUACUUUCACUUGAUGAACUGCCAUCUAUUGUAAUUCUUUCUACUGUGGUGGGUAUAUAAGGCCCUAUUUCUAUGGCUUCCCAAAUAUUUAGGUCUAUUGCCUCAAUAAAAAUUUGCAUUCGGGUUUUCCAGUAAUGGUAACCCUCUCCAUUAAAGAUUGGAGGUCUAUUGAUAGAAUUCCCUUCUGGAAAUAAGGAGUUUGCUGAGGCCAUCUUUUUCUUGAAGCUUCUAAACUUUAUACAAGAAUGAAGCUCUGAUACCACUAGUUAGACAAGUGGCCUCAGAUAUCUUAAGAAGGGGGGGUUGAAUUAAGAUAUCCCAAAAUACUUCCCCAAUUAAAAAUCUAUUUCACUUUCUUUUCAAGUUAUAAAUUCCCUUAACAAUGAACUUCUUAAAUAUUAAUUCAAAUAAAACAAUUUGAAUAUGAACAUAAAUCAAUAAUAAACAAAGGAGAUUAAGGGAAGAGAAAGUGCAAACUCAGAUUUAUACUGGUUCGGCCACACCCUUGUGCCUACGUCCAGUCCCCAAGCAACCCGCUUGAGAGUUCCACUAUCUUGUAAAUUCCUUUUACAAGUUCUAAACACACAAGGACAAUCCUUCCUUUGUGUUUAGAAUUCCUUUACAACAAGAGACCCACGGUCUCUUAAUCCCUUAGAGAAUGAGGAGAAGAAGAAGAAUGAAUCUCUCUAGAAAGAGAUAGAUUUUACAGAUUAAGCACUCAAAUAAUUCCUUAAUGAACUGCAAUUGAAUUGGCCAAGGAAUUUUUAAGAGGAUAAAAUGAUUUUUGCUCUUUGAGAGGAUAAACACUUGUUGUUCUGAAAAACUCUAUCAAAAAUCGUGUCUCAAGUCACAUAUAUAUAGGCCUAUGAUAGCCAUUCAAUAACCACACAAAAAGAUGUGACUGUUGAGAAUGUUUUCUGAAAAAAACUCCUCUGGUAAUCGAUUACAAUAAGUGUGUAAUCGAUUACACUCUUUAAAAUUUGAAUUAAAACGUUCAGAAACUGCUGGUAAUCGAUUACCAUAUAUGUGUAAUCGAUUACACAGUGCAAAGUUUGAAUUCAAAUUUUAAUAGCUGUUGUAAAUCAGUUUUGGCCACUGGUAAUCGAUUACAUCCUCUGGUAAUCGAUUACCAGAGAGUAAAUUUGUUGAAAAAGACUUUUUUUAACUUAAAAUUCUUGGCCAAACCUUUUGCUACUUCAAUUGUAAUUCCCUUCCUAUUUAAUAUCCUUUCUAAGACUCUAUAGACUGUCUUGAUCAUCCAUCUUGAAUAUCUCUAAUUGCUUUGUCUUGAGUAAAUCUUUGAGAAGCAUAUGAUUCAUGUAAUCCUUUGGCAUCAUCAAAAUAUUCAGCUUGAUCCUUUGUCUACACAUAUUGCCUAGAAGCGUCAAAGACAGUGAUAUAUUUCGGUGUCGAUAUCGACUUUGUUCAUCGAACCGACUCUGUUUAUCUCCGACUAAACCGACUCUUUGUCCCGAUCCGGUAACUACACGGCUUAUUGUGGUAAAAGGGAAAGUCAAACUCACAACUCUUUUUCCUUUUCUCGUGCACUUUCCUAAGGGCUACGUACUUCACUCCAUUACCUUCUAUUUGAACUCUGACACUUCUCUCAUUGUGAAAUUUCUAUCUAAGUCCUGACAGCCCCUAACUUUGGCAAAGACUACUCGCUCGCUUUAAAAGCAACUCCAUUGAGUCCUGUCAGAUCGUUUAUAUAUAACCUUUAUUCAUAUAUGACCUUAGAAAGGUUCUGAAAGAAAGAAGAGUUCCAUUCGAUUAUCCGGGCUCAUUGCCUAGUCCCUCUAAACUAUCUAAAGCCUGGGGAUUCUCCUUACCAGAUGAUCUCCAGCCUGCAUUGUGCCCCUCUCGGAUACCCUGCAGGGUCGACGUAACUCUUACCUAGGUAGACUGGCUAUCCAACUGAAUCGAGAACCCACCUCGCACUACUUCUUCGUAAGUGAGGUGAGGUACUUCUUUUGAAUAGGCAGGGUUGUUCUAGGAUGACUCAAGUGACGAUGCUAACACCAAGGUUGCUUGCAAAGCAUCGGAUAUGCGAAAGAGGGAGAAUGUGCUACAUCGGAUAUUGUUGUAGUUGAUGAAAGAGUUGUAGUUUAUGCUAAAGCAUCGGUUACGAAUGACCCAAUCUAUCUAUGGUAACCACCCAUACUUUUAGUAGAUGGAGAUGCGCACCUAGGAAAGACGGAUGAAAGAGAACCUACCCUAAGAGAUUGGCAUAGGCCUGUGGGCCCGCUGUGGUAGAAGGCCUUUGUUGGCCUGUCGAUCUAUCCUGAUUAACUUACUGACGCUAUUUCUGACUAGAGAGAGGGCUUAGAUCGGAGAGGAGCAGCUCCUUUCUUUUUAACAUAAAGCAGUGAUGAAUGGGACGGAGCUGCUACAAUCAAUAGCUUCAGCUGCUUUAUGUAUUGGAGCAGAGGUGGCAGUUAGCAGCAGGAAUAGGACCAGCAACUAGGGUUGUUCAUAGAGCAGCCGUCUUUCCGUCUCAAGCGGAGAAGACAUCAAAAGAAUCUUUAUCUAUGGCUCUACCAGGGAAUCCUAGUUAGUUAUAGGGUUCUGAACCAGAGCAGAGAUAGGAAAAAGCAUAUCCUAUGUAUACUGAACUUGAGCUUGCUUACCAUAGGACUGCUAUUGGAUAGGUUUACCUUUUUUCUCGAACUCGCUUAUUAUAGUGGGAAGCUCGGCUGGUAAGGGAUUCUAUUAGGAUAGGACACCAACUGUAAGAACUGGCCUUAGUACUGCAGCAAUUGGAAGGAGAACUGAAAAGACCUUUGACCAUUUCAUUUGGUAGCACGUUUAGCUCGUUAUGAAACGUAUUGUUAGAACUAGAAGUGUUCUUAGUCCAGGUAAGAGUCCAAUGCUAGAUUAAUAAUGUAAAAUAUGAGAUAUCCUAAGGUAUUUAAUUGCUUGUUUGAUAGAAUAAGGAGGAAAGAAGUUUGUUUCCUAUUGAUAGUGGCACUCCCACAGGCUGGCGGGGAUCUCCCAUAUGGAUGGCUGAGAAUAAUUCAUAUACAGGCUAUAGGCUUGAAAAGAGUGCUAGCUUUCGUUAGGCCUUUCUUUUCCUAAAGAUAGGAUCCCACCUUCCCUAAUUCUGAGCAAGAACAUCUUAUUCAAUUCAACAAGUGCUACCCACUAAUCUAAUCUAAUCUAAUCUCAGUCGAAUGCUCCUUCAGUUUAAGGGGUAAGUCCUCAAUGAAAAGCCAUAAUUCUUAACCGUUCGGAUCCCAUAUACGCAUGGGCUACUUCACUCCUUUCUUUAUUUCACGUUUUCUCGGGAAAAUUAGUUGCAAAUAGAUUUCUGCCCAUAAAUGGACAUUCAAAUUGAUCAACUCGCUAAAACCCCGUAUUUUUUAUUGCAAGUCAAUUUUUGCCUAUAGACGGACAUUGAAAUGGAUACAGUUUCAUUUUCCCAGGAAUUUUGCUUUCAAAUGGGAAAGAUUGGCUGAAUUCCUAUCCCAAGAGCAGAUUCUGAUUCAGUAGUUUUCUUCAGGUAGGGUUGGCUUGAGCUUGAGACAGAUGUGGUUCUUCUGGGUCAGUGCCAAUGGGAACUACAUAUCAAAGAGAUCGGGUUCCAUUUAGUUCCAAAGAUUGGUAGGGAUAGGGAUCAAUUCAAUCGACCUACUUCCCCUUACUAUAAAUAUAAAUAGUAAAACUACUCUGUCCCAUAGUGAGAGUGGAGUUCCAAGCGACCAUUUUCUGCCCAGCUUUCUUUCCUUUUGUGAAAGCAUAUGACAUAGUUAAAGAAAAAGAAGAGAAUGCAAGUGGAACUUCAUCCGUAAGCGGUGUUGGAGGACUAGCAAUUGAAUCAGCUGUUGAUGCAAUAAAAGUUGUGAUCCUAGGAGCUGCACAUGAUGGGGAAUAGUCGGUGCAUCGAUAUUCUGUAAGUGUUCCAUAAACCGGAGGAUUUCCGCUUUGAGAUCUCAAAGGAGCUCAUCUGAAGCCCCUCCCAGGCCAAGUUCCCUCACUGAAAAAGCUAGAGAAAGGUUGCUCAGCCCCGACUUCCCUAGGCCAUUCGUUCAACUCGCCUUUUGGCGACUACACUUCCUACCCAAAAUAAUAGAUAGAAAUAUCGCAAAUAUAGCCAUUGCAACACCCAUCAAGGGAGUAGUUCCCCACCCCGGAGCUACUUUACCAUAUUCUAAAUUUAAUGGUUUCAAUAAAUCACCUACAACAGUUCGUCUUGGACCAGAUCUAGAAUUAUCUUCAACGGUUUGCGUAGCCAUAAAUACUAUUUUUUAUUCAUUGAGAUCUGUUUACUUUGUAUAUCAUUCCGCUGUAAAUAUAAGGAUCUUAUCCUAUAGAUCUAUUGUGGUCUUGAAACUUUAUAAUUCUAAUAAUGGAAACAGCAACCCUAAUUUCCAUCUCUAUCAGCUAGUUAGCUAGCCGCUCUUUCCCUAGUCUUAGCUAGUCUCAUUUUCCUUCGGCUUCUUGUAAGGCUCACUUCACUUCUCUUGAAAGACAAGAAAGGGAAGAGAUUACUAUGUAGCUAACAGGAGAGGUAUGAAGUUCUCGACCUUAGGGAGAGGUUAGAAUACGCUCUCCCUCAUAGCCCAAGGAAGGGCAAUAGCUUGAUUACUUAACUGCCAGUUCCAAUGUCACCUCGUUCUAUCUAUCUUCCUUCCGUUACCUUGUUCUUCUUGCCACUGGGGCUUCAACCUUUCCAUCAUUUCCUGCGAUCGAGCUAGCAUAGCAUCCAUCCUUAUUAAUUAAAGCAUGAUGCUGCUAUUCUGCUCGGCAUAUUUCUUCGGGAUUUUCCCUUGGUCAAGUAAAGGACCAGGUGAGCUGAAGGCGAGCCGGGGGACGUAAAGUGCUCUAUAAGCACAAUAAGGCGGGGAACUCAUCACAUAUAUAAUCUAGUUGUUGUUCGUACCAUCACUCUAUGGUCGAAUGGACUCGUAAGGACGAAAUGAAAUACCCCAUCAUAUCACUCUAAGGUCCUGCGGGGAACUAUUGAAGCUUCCAGCUUUCCACCUAUAUGGAUUGUUUGAGCGUAAAUAGAUUUUGUACGCGUCCAGUCUAGUCUCUCUAAGCCCUGAAACCGUAACUAUGGCUAUGUUCUGAGAUUCGUCUUUUCUGUUGUUCAAAGAUCUCUCCGAUUCCUUUUCUUUCGAAGUGGCAUUGCCCAAAGUCGAAUCAAAGGCUUGACAGGGUCUUCUUAGCCCAUGCUAACUAGAAUAGUUAGUAGCUUAUAGGAUCCCAAAGCAAUAACCACAGAUGGAGGAGCAUUCGUCUUUUUAACCAGUUUUCAAAAACCAAGAUAUCCUGCCUAUCCCGAAAAACGGACUCCCUCAAAAAAAAAAGUAGCUUCAUAGCAAGAGUGGUUUUGACUAAGCAUAUGACAAAGGCUCGGCCGAAGCUAGAGCUAAGUGGCUGUUUCAGGGUAAGUAUGGAAAGCAUAGGUCGACUUAUGAUCAUUGAUUGGAUUGGUUAAUUUACUUAAAAAUCCGAAAGGGCAGCCUAUAGACAUCAUUUUGAGGGAAAUUAACACUGAGAUGAUGAAAAAUAUAGACCGGUGUGUCAUUGGUCUUUCGUUCGUAGUGGGAUAAACUAAC
RNAcentral lists this long non-coding RNA (26471 nucleotides) under Glycine max (soybean). RNAcentral's name for it is "long non-coding RNA (GMAX_LNC003938)". The stretch from base 7915 to 9871 matches the Rfam family "Bacterial large subunit ribosomal RNA". The record is from RNAcentral. Lineage: Eukaryota; Viridiplantae; Streptophyta; Magnoliopsida; Fabales; Fabaceae.